UACCAGCACCCCGAGUGGUCGGGACGAUUAUUGGGCCUAAAGCAUCCGUAGCCGGUUCUACAAGUCUUCCGUUAAAUCCAGCUGCUUAACAGAUGGGCUGCGGAGGAUACUAUAAGACUAGGAGGCAGGAGAGGCAAGCGGUACUCAGUGGGUAGGGGUAAAAUCCGUUGAUCCAUUGAAGACCACCAGUGGCGAAGGCGGCUUGCCAGAACGCACUCGACGGUGAGGGAUGAAAGCUGGGGGAGCAAACCGG
This 253-nucleotide ribosomal RNA is filed under the name uncultured bacterium. RNAcentral's name for it is "partial 16S ribosomal RNA". It matches the Rfam family "Archaeal small subunit ribosomal RNA", at positions 474 to 727 of the family's 1478-position model. The record is from RNAcentral.